GAUGAACGCUGUCGGCGCGCCUAACACAUGCAAGUCGAACGGAGUUGCUGAAGCUGAAUUUUUCGGAAGGACGCAUUAGUAACUUAGUGGCGGACGGGUGAGCAACGCGUGAGUAACCUGCCUUUCAGAGGGGGAUAACGUUUGGAAACGAACGCUAAUACCGCAUAACAUAACGAGGUCGCAUGGCUUUGUUAUCAAAGGAGCAAUCCGCUGGAAGAUGGACUCGCGUCCAAUUAGCUAGUUGGUGAGGUAAAGGCCCACCAAGGCGACGAUUGGUAGCCGGACUGAGAGGUUGAACGGCCACAUUGGGACUGAGACACGGCCCAGACUCCUACGGGAGGCAGCAGUGGGGAAUAUUGCACAAUGGGGGAAGCCCUGAUGCAGCGACGCCGCGUGAGGGAAGAAGGUUUUCGGAUUGUAAACCUCUGUCUUUGGUGACGAAACAAAUGACGGUAACCAAGGAGGAAGCCACGGCUAACUACGUGCCAGCCGCCGCUGUAACAC
This 504-nucleotide ribosomal RNA is filed under the name uncultured bacterium. RNAcentral describes it as "bacterial SSU rRNA". It matches the Rfam family "Bacterial small subunit ribosomal RNA", at positions 28 to 526 of the family's 1533-position model. The record is from RNAcentral.